Molecule: ribosomal RNA, 1145 nt
Filed under: Curtobacterium sp.
Lineage: Bacteria; Bacillati; Actinomycetota; Actinomycetes; Micrococcales; Microbacteriaceae
Description: bacterial SSU rRNA
Rfam family: Bacterial small subunit ribosomal RNA
Source: RNAcentral
UUGCAGUCGAACGAUGAUGCCCAGCUUGCUGGGUGGAUUAGUGGCGAACGGGUGAGUAACACGUGAGUAACCUGCCCCUGACUCUGGGAUAAGCGUUGGAAACGACGUCUAAUACUGGAUACGACUGCCGGCCGCAUGGUCUGGUGGUGGAAAGAUUUCUUGGUUGGGGAUGGACUCGCGGCCUAUCAGCUUGUUGGUGAGGUAAUGGCUCACCAAGGCGACGACGGGUAGCCGGCCUGAGAGGGUGACCGGCCACACUGGGACUGAGACACGGCCCAGACUCCUACGGGAGGCAGCAGUGGGGAAUAUUGCACAAUGGGCGAAAGCCUGAUGCAGCAACGCCGCGUGAGGGAUGACGGCCUUCGGGUUGUAAACCUCUUUUAGUAGGGAAGAAGCGAAAGUGACGGUACCUGCAGAAAAAGCACCGGCUAACUACGUGCCAGCAGCCGCGGUAAUACGUAGGGUGCAAGCGUUGUCCGGAAUUAUUGGGCGUAAAGAGCUCGUAGGCGGUUUGUCGCGUCUGCUGUGAAAUCCCGAGGCUCAACCUCGGGCUUGCAGUGGGUACGGGCAGACUAGAGUGCGGUAGGGGAGAUUGGAAUUCCUGGUGUAGCGGUGGAAUGCGCAGAUAUCAGGAGGAACACCGAUGGCGAAGGCAGAUCUCUGGGCCGUAACUGACGCUGAGGAGCGAAAGCAUGGGGAGCGAACAGGAUUAGAUACCCUGGUAGUCCAUGCCGUAAACGUUGGGCGCUAGAUGUAGGGACCUUUCCACGGUUUCUGUGUCGUAGCUAACGCAUUAAGCGCCCCGCCUGGGGAGUACGGCCGCAAGGCUAAAACUCAAAGGAAUUGACGGGGGCCCGCACAAGCGGCGGAGCAUGCGGAUUAAUUCGAUGCAACGCGAAGAACCUUACCAAGGCUUGACAUACACCGGAAACGGCCAGAGAUGGUCGCCCCCUUGUGGUCGGUGUACAGGUGGUGCAUGGUUGUCGUCAGCUCGUGUCGUGAGAUGUUGGGUUAAGUCCCGCAACGAGCGCAACCCUCGUUCUAUGUUGCCAGCGGGUUAUGCCGGGGACUCAUAGGAGACUGCCGGGUCACUCCGAGAGAGGUGGGGGAGACGUCAAAUCAUCAGGCCCCUUAUGUCUGGGCUU